UUGCUUUGGUAGCACAUACACUAAAAGUUUGGAACUGUACAGAGAUUAGCGUGGUCCCUGCACAAGGAUAACAUGCAGAUUUGUGAAGUGUUUCACAUUUAG
Small nuclear RNA from Sorex fumeus (smoky shrew), 102 nucleotides. The record is from RefSeq and is a predicted model, not a curated record. Lineage: Eukaryota; Metazoa; Chordata; Mammalia; Eulipotyphla; Soricidae.